GUUCUUUGCAGAGUGCACACUAUACAAACACUGGCUAACGUGUAGCACUUAAAACAGGUAAAAAAAAGAAAAAAAAGAAAAGAAAAAAAAAGAGAUUCUCCUAAGAUUACAAUAAACAAAAGCAACUGGAAAAUCCUUACCUUCCCAGAAGUCCAUAGGCAUACUGAGAAUCAGCCAGCAGUAAUGUGAUCUCCCCCUUCUGCAUGGACAUGACACACUCCUCUAGAGCCUACAGAUUUCAAAGCUAAAUGAGUGAGCUUGUAGAAGUGUAACUCCUCAACUGUCACCUGGAAAAUGCCUACAUGUAAUCCAAUGGAACUAUAACGAGACCAGUGUCCUCAUGACAUUUAAAAGGUUUUAACCCAGACUUUUUGUGAUCCAGACCAUUAGAGCUGCAGUCACAAAUGAACAAGUGGGAGGUCUUGAGUUGCCAUAAAUUUUAGAGGAGAUGAAAACAGUCGGUUCAUUUAAAAAGAAGCAAUGCAGUAGCUGGGAAAACUGUUUAUGGCAUCAUUGUCCCUCUUUCUCAUUGACUUGGUAGAAAAGUUUGCAUUCAACCGAUUGUCUGUGUCAUGAGAGUCUUCCAUUGUUAUUUUGUGGGUCAGAAUCUACAAAGUUUGUGAAGCCCUGGUCCAGACUAUCUUUUAUUUGGCAAGAAGACAAUGUACCAUUAUGAGCAAGUAACUACCCUAAAACCUUGGUGAGAAAAUCAUUUCUACCUCUGAAUAUUUUGUAAAAGCUUUUAAUGGGGGUUUGUACGCCAUCUCAAAAAGUCACAAAGUGUUUUAUUUCCCUAUUUUCAAGGUCUGCAUGAGUAUACAUGUAGACAUGUAGAAGAGAAUAUUUAGAUUUAUAUUCCCUUCUAAAAUGUUUGAAAAUCUAUAAAGGAGUUAGUCCAAACAGAGCCCAUUUCUGCCUCGAAAAUGGUUGCAUGCUGGUUAAUCCAUGCAGGCACCUGUAGAUGUUUACUCGGGUAAGGGAACAGAUGAAGACAAUGUUACAUGUUUUUAGGACUAUAAACAUGUAAGUAAUGCAGCAGAGAAGUGCCUUUGGUAUUUUAAAUCACUUUUGCAUUUUACAUUUUAAGUCUGAACAAUGUCAAAAUAGUUGCUGUAGAUUUGACUUGAACCUUUUAAAGGAAUUUAUUAAAAAUAGGACAAUACAUCAGAAAAUUUGACAUCUUCAUAUUGUUGAAAUUUGAAAUCCUCAACGUCUGACCCAGAUGUUUCAGGAGAUUAAAAAAGCCCUCAUCUUUCUAAAGUCAAAGGAUCUAGUUAAAAUUGAACCACCUUUUUGAUUCUUUUCAUUGCAUUUUUUUUUUACUGAAACGUAAAAAGAUUUUUAAGGUUGACUAAUAGAUUUGAUUUUGACAAAAAAAAAAAAAAAAUCCAAGUGACCAACAUUCGAGUCAUGAAGAUUCAUGUCCAACAGCAACAUAUUGAAAAAUGUAUUGGAACAGUGUUUAGAAAGCAGUUCUCACUUUAAUUACCUGUCAGUCUGAAUAACACUUUUGUUACUUCCAUAUUUAAAGAAUUACAAACAUCCCUCAGCUGAUAUUAUUAAGCCUGUGCUGUGAGAACAUGACUAUACAGAUUUGUUUACAUUUUUGAGGCAACACAAACACACACACAAACACAAUAGGAUCUUUCAAGAAAAACACUGGAGUAUCACCUGUAUUACAUCUCCCUCUCCGAUAACAAAGACAAGUUUGCAGUCCUUCUCCACCACAGUCCGGUCCUCAAGAACACCCUGCAUCUUCACAGUGACUUCUUGACCCCAGGUGGAGCGCAGGACCUGUUGGUCUCCUGAUUCCAGAAUUUUCUUCCUCAACAGCCGGUCCUCUGCAUAAAAUCAGAGUAAGCGUGUUCUGGAAAGAGAAUCUCUGCUGAGCUGUCCCUCUCCACAACAUCCUCUUCUGUCGAGGGGUCUUGAAACCGGACCAUCUUCCAGCUAGUUCUUCACCUUGUUCUGGAGGCCCACAAGGCAGUUUGUUCAGAUGAUCGCAGUCUGCAGGUUCAGAAACGCAUUCCGCUACUUCAGGCUCUGUGGGAUCCAACACACCAUCCCUCUGCUCUUCACAACAUGGC
Molecule: long non-coding RNA, 2087 nt
Organism: Gambusia affinis (western mosquitofish)
Lineage: Eukaryota; Metazoa; Chordata; Actinopteri; Cyprinodontiformes; Poeciliidae
Exons: 5
Source: RefSeq, a predicted model, not a curated record